AUUGAACGCUGGCGGCAGGCCUAACACAUGCAAGUCGAACGGUAACAGGAAGAAGCUUGCUUCUUUGCUGACGAGUGGCGGACGGGUGAGUAAUGUCUGGGAAACUGCCUGAUGGAGGGGGAUAACUACUGGAAACGGUAGCUAAUACCGCAUAACGUCGCAAGACCAAAGAGGGGGACCUUCGGGCCUCUUGCCAUCGGAUGUGCCCAGAUGGGAUUAGCUAGUAGGUGGGGUAACGGCUCACCUAGGCGACGAUCCCUAGCUGGUCUGAGAGGAUGACCAGCCACACUGGAACUGAGACACGGUCCAGACUCCUACGGGAGGCAGCAGUGGGGAAUAUUGCACAAAGGGCGCAAGCCUGAUGCAGCCAUGCCGCGUGUAUGAAGAAGGCCUUCGGGUUGUAAAGUACUUUCAGCGGGGAGGAAGGAAGUAAAGUUAAUACCUUUGCUCAUUGACGUUACCCGCAGAAGAAGCACCGGCUAACUCCGUG
RNAcentral lists this ribosomal RNA (490 nucleotides) under uncultured bacterium. RNAcentral describes it as "partial 16S ribosomal RNA". It matches the Rfam family "Bacterial small subunit ribosomal RNA", at positions 30 to 507 of the family's 1533-position model. The record is from RNAcentral.